This 253-nucleotide ribosomal RNA is filed under the name uncultured bacterium. RNAcentral describes it as "partial 16S ribosomal RNA". It matches the Rfam family "Bacterial small subunit ribosomal RNA", at positions 524 to 776 of the family's 1533-position model. The record is from RNAcentral.
UACGUAAGGGGCGAGCGUUACUCGGAUUUACUGGGCGUAAAGGGCGUGUAGGCGGCUGCGCAAGUUGAAUGUAAAAGAUCAAGGCUUAACCUUGGGACUGCGUUCAAAACUGCGCGGCUAGAAUCUGGUGGAGGGUGAUGGAAUUCCCGGUGUAGCGGUGAAAUGCGUAGAUAUCGGGAAGAACACCAAAGGCGAAGGCAAUCAUCCAUGCUGAGAUUGACGCUGAGGCGCGAAAGCGUGGGGAGCGAACAGG